RNAcentral lists this ribosomal RNA (253 nucleotides) under uncultured bacterium. RNAcentral's name for it is "partial 16S ribosomal RNA". It matches the Rfam family "Bacterial small subunit ribosomal RNA", at positions 524 to 776 of the family's 1533-position model. The record is from RNAcentral.
UACGGGGGGGGCAAGCGUUGUUCGGAAUUACUGGGCGUAAAGGGCGCGUAGGCGGCUUUUCAAGUCGGGCGUGAAAUCUCCGGGCUUAACCCGGAAGGGUCGUUCGAUACUGUUGAGCUAGAGUGUGGAAGAGGCAACUAGAAUUCCGUGUGUAGCGGUGAAAUGCGUAGAUAUGCGGAGGAAUACCUGAGGCGAAGGCGGGUUGCUGGGCCAACACUGACGCUGAGGCGCGAAAGCCAGGGGAGCAAACGGG